Molecule: ribosomal RNA, 997 nt
Filed under: archaeon enrichment culture clone R2.2-32
Lineage: Archaea
Description: bacterial SSU rRNA
Rfam family: Archaeal small subunit ribosomal RNA
Source: RNAcentral
UCCGGUUGAUCCUGCCGGACCCGACUGCUAUCAGAGUGGGACUAAGCCAUGCGAGUCAACAUAGCAAUAUGUGGCAUACGGCUCAGUAACACGUAGUCAACAUGCCCAGGGGACGUGGAUAACCUCGGGAAACUGAGGAUAAACCGCGAUAGGUCAUCACUUCUGGAAUGGGUAAUGACUUAAAUCUAUAUGGCCCCUGGAUUGGACUGCGGCCGAUCAGGCUGUUGGUGAGGUAAUGGCCCACCAAACCUGUAACCGGUACGGGCUCUGAGAGGAGGAGCCCGGAGAUGGGCACUGAGACAAGGGCCCAGGCCCUAUGGGGCGCAGCAGGCGCGAAACCUCUGCAAUAGGCGAAAGCUUGACAGGGUUACUCUGAGUGAUUUCCGUUAAGGAGAUCUUUUGGCACCUCUAAAAAUGGUGCAGAAUAAGGGGUGGGCAAGUCUGGUGUCAGCCGCCGCGGUAAUACCAGCACCCCGAGUGGUCGGGACGUUUAUUGGGCCUAAAGCAUCCGUAGCCGGUUCUACAAGUCUUCCGUUAAAUCCACCUGCUUAACAGAUGGGCUGCGGAAGAUACUAUAGAGCUAGGAGGCGGGAGAGGCAAGCGGUACUCGAUGGGUAGGGGUAAAAUCCGUUGAUCCAUUGAAGACCACCAGUGGCGAAGGCGGCUUGCCAGAACGCGCUCGACGGUGAGGGAUGAAAGCUGGGGGAGCAAACCGGAUUAGAUACCCGGGUAGUCCCAGCUGUAAACGAUGCAGACUCGGUGAUGAGUUGGCUUAUUGCUAACUCAGUGCCGCAGGGAAGCCGUUAAGUUUGCCGCCUGGGGAGUACGGUCGCAAGACUGAAACUUUAAAGGAAUUGGCGGGGGAGCACCACAAGGGGUGAAGCCUGCGGUUCAAUUGGAGUCAACGCCGGAAAUCUUACCGGGGGCGACAGCAGAGUGAAAGGUCAAGCUGAAGACUUUACCAGACAAGCUGAGAGGAAGUGCAUGGGCCGUCGCC